RNAcentral lists this long non-coding RNA (275 nucleotides) under Lathyrus oleraceus (garden pea). RNAcentral describes it as "Pisum sativum (pea) long non-coding RNA (PSAT_LNC024500)". The record is from RNAcentral. Lineage: Eukaryota; Viridiplantae; Streptophyta; Magnoliopsida; Fabales; Fabaceae.
UCAAAUGGAGAUUGCUCCAAAAAGAACCACAUGAAUUGGCCUUUUGGUGUGAAAGUUAUCCCACUUUGAAGUUCAAAAUUUCUUGACAAUGAUUUGAUCAUAACGUGCCAACCAUUAAUGAGAAAUGGAUGUUCUUGGACUUUUUGGAAAGGUGAGAGCAAGAUCUUCAACUUUCAUGUUGGACAAAAUUUCAUUUGAAGCAUGCUUGAUGAUGUAAAUUUGAGGAGAAAACCUUUCCAUUUUUGGCAGUUUGAAAUUACAGGUCACUUACUACU